AUGCUAACCAAGCUAGAAGAGGAAAGAUGUGAAGAUUGGUCACCUGUGCAAAGGAAACGACAAGGUUUCAUCUCCCCUGGCUGCUGGCCUCACCCCGAUUUCUGGGCAUUGGGAUCUGGUAACCGUGAGUUCCUGCUGCUCCUGCUCCUGCAGCCGUCUGUGUCACGCCUGGCAGCCAUCUUAGGCUGGGCAGAAAGCCCACCAGGGCUAGCACAGCAAAUCGGCUGGGGAGGAAGAAGAAGGAGGAGGAAGAUGCCACCCAGAAGUUUGCAUUAUCAGCCUUUACAGCAGUCUGCUCAUGAGGCUGCCUACAGCUUAGUCCGUAAAUAUACCCACAAGUGGGCAGGACCAGAAGCAGAAAGCUCCUUCCCAAACACCAUCUGGCUGCUGGUGGCAAUGCCUAGGCCGUGGCCACCCUGGUCUUGCCUGGCCUUGGGUGGGUCUUUUCAAAGCUUCACCAUGCUGAGUGAAUGUAAACAUAGAAUCAUAGAAUAUCCCGAGUUGCAAGGGACCCUUAAGGAUCAUCGAGUCCAACUCCUGGCUCCACGCAGGUCCACCCAAGAAUUCAGACCAUAUGACUAAGUGCACAGUCCAAACGCUACUUGAACUCCUACAGGCUUGGUGCCAUGACUGCUUCCCUGGGGAGCCUGCUCCAGUGCACGACAACCUUCUCAGUGAAGAACCUCUUCCUGAUUGUCCUGGUUCCAGUUAGGACAGAGUUAAUUUUCCCUCAUAGUAGCUGGUAGGGUGCUAUGUUUUGGAUUAGGAUGAGAAGAGCGCUGAUAACAUGCUGAUGUUUUAAUUGUUGCAGAGCAGUGUUUACACCAGGCCAAGGACUUUUCGGCUUCUCGCUCUGUCCUGCCAGCGAGCAGGCUGGGGGUGCAGCAGGAGCUGGGAGGGGACAGACCCAGGACAGCUGACCCAAACUGGCCAAAGGGGUAUUCCAUACCAUCUGACGUCAUGCUAAACAAUAUAUAGGGGUGGCUGGCCGGGGUGGGGGGCUGGCUGCUCGGGGAUAGGCUGGGCAUCGGUCAGCGGGUGGUGAGCAAUUGCGUUGUGCAUCACUUGUUUUCUUACACAUUAUUAUUAUUAAUACUAUUAUCAUUAUCACUAUUAUUAUUAUUAUUGUUAUUAUUAUAUUCCUGUCUUAAUAAACUUUCUCAAUCUCAACUCA
Molecule: long non-coding RNA, 1174 nt
Filed under: Anser brachyrhynchus (Pink-footed goose)
Lineage: Eukaryota; Metazoa; Chordata; Aves; Anseriformes; Anatidae
Description: lncRNA (ENSABRG00000006334.1)
Source: RNAcentral